CACCUGGGACACACCUGAGCACACCUGGGACACACCUGAGCACACCUGGGGACACCUGAGAUACACCUGGGCACACCUAGGCACAUGUGGGACACACCUGGGCACACCUGGGACACACCUGGGCACACCUGGCCAUGCAGAUGUUGGAUUUUUCCCGCCAUUCCCGGUUUUUUUCUCACCUUUUCCCGUUUUUCCCGUUUUUCUCCCCAAACCGCAGCCGGAUUUCGUCGGCAUCAUCUGCACCCGCCUGAGCCCCAAGAGACUGAUCGAGAAAUGGGUGGACUUCGCCAGGCGGCUCUGCGAGCACCAGUACGGGAACGCGCCGCGCGUGCGCAUCAACGGCCACGUGGCCGCGCGGUUCCCGUUCAUCCCCCUGCCCCUGGACUACGUCCUGCCCGAGCUGCUCAAGAACGCCAUGAGGAUUUCGGACCGGGGGGGAGGAAUUCCCCACGAUUUGCUGGACAAGGUCACCGAGUACCAUUUCAGCACGGCCGAGGCGAGCGCGCAGGACCCGCGCCUGGGGGGGCCCUUCCGGGGCCUGAUGGAGCCCAACGGGCAGGCGGGGCCCAUGCACGGGUUCGGCUUCGGGCUGCCCACGUCCCGCGCCUACGCCGAGUACCUGGGCGGGUCCCUGGCGCUGCAGUCGCUGCAGGGCGUCGGCACCGACGUCUACCUGAGGCUGCGGCACAUCGACGGCAAGGCCGAGAGCUUCCGCAUCUAGGGGGGCUCGGGGGACCCCGGAAUCCCGGGAUCGGGGCGGGGAGAGCCGGGAGAACCUUCCAGAGUUGGGGUUUGGGUCAUCAGAACCGUGGAGAACCUUCCAGAGUCGGGGUUUGGGUCAUGGAGAACCUUCUAGAAUUGGGGUUGGGUCAUCAGAACCGUGGAGAACCUUCUAGAAUUGGGGUUGGGUCAUCAGAACCAUGGAGAACCUUCCAGAAUUGUGUUUUGGGCCAUGGAGAACCUUCCAGAGUUGGGUUUGGGUCAUCAAAACCAAGAAGAACGUUCCAGAGUUGGGUUUGGGUCAUGAAGAACCUCCCAAAGUUGGGUUUUGGUCAUCAAAACCGUAAAGAACCGCCCAGAUUUAGGGUUUGGGUCAUCAGAACCAAGAAGAACCUUCCAGAAUUGUGUUUUGGGUCAUCAGAACCAUGGAGAACCUUCCAGAAUUGUGUUUUGGGCCAUGGAGAACCUUCCAGAGUUGGGUUUGGGUCAUGGAGAACAUUCCAGAAUUGGGUUUGGGUCAUCAGAACCAAGAAGAAC
RNAcentral lists this long non-coding RNA (1257 nucleotides) under Cyanistes caeruleus (blue tit). Its description in RNAcentral is "lncRNA (ENSCCEG00000000428.1)". Lineage: Eukaryota; Metazoa; Chordata; Aves; Passeriformes; Paridae. The record is from RNAcentral.